CAUCGCGUUUGCCGGCAACCGGAGCAUCGAUUCAUCUCCUUGUUGGUCACCGUCGCCUAAAAUCAAUCCAUCACCCACGGAAGCUCGAUCGGCGGCUCUCCCUCACACAUUGCAGAGACAUAACAGAUAGAUAGGAUUUAGAUGAGGCGCGCCAAAAAUCUCUGCAACUACCAAUCAUCGUCCAUGGCGUUCUCUCUCUCCUUCACCAUCAUCCCUCACACUAGGGUUUCCAUAAAUGUCUCCCUUACUCCAAUUCAACCUUUUUUCUCAAUCCUUCUUUCCUCAAUUCGAUCCAAGAGAACUCGCAGAGAACACACAGUAACUCCAAUUCGCCCCACACUUGGCCGCAUCCUCACCAAAAACCCUUCAAUGGUUCUUCUUUUAGGAUUCUCUGGAGGACAUCUCAUACUUGCUAAGGAUUCCACAAAGAAAGCCCUAUGGGACAAUGGAGGGUAAUGUGAAGAAAGCUCUAAUGUUGUUGGGUUGGAUUUGGUGGAUGAUGAAAGCAAGCUUGAAGGACGCCCCACAAAACAUAUGCCUACACCGGCUCAGUGGACUAAUAUGUUCAAUCCUGCAUUCUCAUACUAUGUGUACUACUGUUACGCAAAUCUUUUCACUUUAAAUAAGGUAUGGGACCUUGUUACUAGAAGACUUUUACAAACUCGAGCUUUUCCACUACCAAUUACUGCAAUAGUUGUUGAUCCAACAGAGAUGAAAUUAUUUUCUGGUGGUAUAGAUUACUAGUGAAUAUUUCUUUUUUGUAUACAGAGGACAUCAUUUUUGUAUGAUUAUCUUUUUGUAUGGAAUUAUUAUUUUGGGUUGGAUUAUAUUUGGUUUGUAUAGAAUUUGAUAUUACAUGACCAAA
Camellia sinensis is the source of this 865-nucleotide non-coding RNA. Lineage: Eukaryota; Viridiplantae; Streptophyta; Magnoliopsida; Ericales; Theaceae. The record is from RefSeq and is a predicted model, not a curated record.